CACCGCGGUUAUACGAGAGGCCCAAAUUGAAAGACACCGGCGUAAAGCGUGGUUAAAUUAAAAUUAAACUAAAGUUAAAUAUCUUUAAGGCUGUCAUACGUGCCCAAAGACUGGAACUUCAAUCACGAAAGUAACUUUAUGUAAACUGAACCCACAAAAGCUAUAACC
Molecule: ribosomal RNA, 168 nt
Filed under: Careproctus cypselurus
Lineage: Eukaryota; Metazoa; Chordata; Actinopteri; Perciformes; Liparidae
Description: partial small subunit ribosomal RNA
Source: RNAcentral